RNAcentral lists this long non-coding RNA (246 nucleotides) under Lathyrus oleraceus (garden pea). RNAcentral describes it as "Pisum sativum (pea) long non-coding RNA (PSAT_LNC013149)". The record is from RNAcentral. Lineage: Eukaryota; Viridiplantae; Streptophyta; Magnoliopsida; Fabales; Fabaceae.
GCAAUUUUAAUUGCUAAUGUAUUUUGUGUUGUUUCAUUUUUCAAGUUUAUUUUGUUUUAAUACGGAAGGAAAUCUCAAGAGAAGAAGGCAAAAAUAGCAUAAUUUAUUUCCCUUUCUAUGAUUUUUUUUACUUUUAAUUUUAUCGCAUUUUAUGUGUUUGUCUGUUGUUUAUGUUUUUAGUAUUUUUUUUUUCUUUUUCUAGCUGUAUAUACAUUGCUUUGAAAAUUCUUCAAAAUUUUGAGUUGU